RNAcentral lists this ribosomal RNA (250 nucleotides) under uncultured bacterium. RNAcentral's name for it is "partial 16S ribosomal RNA". It matches the Rfam family "Bacterial small subunit ribosomal RNA", at positions 524 to 773 of the family's 1533-position model. The record is from RNAcentral.
UACAGAGGGUGCAAACGUUGUUCGGAAUUACUGGGCAUAAAGCGCACGUAGGCGGCGUUGUAAGUGCGGUGUGAAAGCCCACGGCUUACCCGUGGAACAGCACCGUAGACUGCAAUGCUAGAGGAUGGUAGAGGAGAGCGGAACUCCUGGUGGAGCGGUGAAAUGCGUAGAUAUCAGGAGGAACACCGGUGGCGAAGGCGGCUCUCUGGUCCGUUUCUGACGCUGAGGUGCGAAAGCUAGGGUAGCGAAC